UCAUAAUUACAAGUAUUUAACCAAAUAAUGACCAGCUUUCUUUCUUUAAAAGUGACAUUUUUAUCAUCUGUGACCAGCUCAGCACAGCAAAGUCAGAGAACUUUUCUCACUGAGUCUCUGGACUAGUAGGACUUUCCAAGGUUCCGUGGUCUUUUACACCCAGAGAAGAUUUAAAAAUGAAAAAAGAAAAGAAAAGAAAAGAAAAAAACCUCCCAGAGUGAAAGGUAUCCCUCAUAUUUUUCCACUGUGUUUGUUGGCCAGAUCUCCUUAGCAAAGAAAUGGUCUUCCAGUAUUUUGGUUUCAUAUUAUUAUGUUCCAUUUAGUAAACCCAACUUACCAAAAGUAGGCUGGGGCAUCCAGUUUCCAAUGCCCCAGUGCCUGUGACAUGUUCUUGUUUAAUACUAAUUGCUCCCUGUAAAAUCUGGCCUCUUGAAUUUUGCUUUUCCAUGAUCAGCAUUCUUCAUGACUCCUAACCAAAGGCCCCAUCACUCAUGCAUAACUCAGAUAAUUUAUUGCAUUACCUCUGAGGAAUUUAUUUCCAUGGUGUUUCUAGAAAACCCAAUAAACUCCUAAAUAAAACCACAGAGGGAAGGAGGGAAGGAGGGAAGGAG
RNAcentral lists this long non-coding RNA (611 nucleotides) under Marmota monax (woodchuck). The record is from RNAcentral. Lineage: Eukaryota; Metazoa; Chordata; Mammalia; Rodentia; Sciuridae.